This 61-nucleotide small RNA is filed under the name Vibrio cholerae O1 biovar El Tor str. N16961. Lineage: Bacteria; Pseudomonadati; Pseudomonadota; Gammaproteobacteria; Vibrionales; Vibrionaceae. The record is from RNAcentral.
CCCCUUCACCAAGCUUGGGCACUAUGCCUUUGUAGCUACGAAUUGAACUCAUCAUUUCACC